GCUUAGCCCUGCGUUAAGGAUUGCAGUGAAAAUCCCGCAGAGAGGCACGAACGAGGAAUUGUAGCGUAAAGCCUGACCCGAU
Molecule: unclassified non-coding RNA, 82 nt
Filed under: Algibacter lectus
Lineage: Bacteria; Pseudomonadati; Bacteroidota; Flavobacteriia; Flavobacteriales; Flavobacteriaceae
Description: Flavo-1 RNA
Source: RNAcentral